Molecule: non-coding RNA, 84 nt
Organism: Tothia fuscella
Lineage: Eukaryota; Fungi; Ascomycota; Dothideomycetes; Venturiales; Cylindrosympodiaceae
Source: the annotation of a GenBank genome assembly
GGCAUUGCAGCUAAGUGGUUAAAGCGAUUGACUAGAAUUCAAGUUCAAUUCUUCGGAGACCAGUUUCGAAUCCUGUCAAUGUCG